RNAcentral lists this small RNA (119 nucleotides) under Marmota monax (woodchuck). The record is from RNAcentral. Lineage: Eukaryota; Metazoa; Chordata; Mammalia; Rodentia; Sciuridae.
GCUGGGUGUGGUGGCACAUGCCUGUAAUCCCAGUGGUUUUGGAGGCUGAGGCAGGAGGAUUGCAAGUUCAAAGCCAGCCAUAGCAACGUCAUAAGCAACUCAGUGAGACCCUGUCUCUA